GUAGAGUUUGUUCCUGCUUUUGGUAUCUUUUAGCAACCCUUCCAACCUUUUAACUGUUCGCACUUGCAUGUUUACACGUUUAAUUAUGUCCAUUGCAGCAUUGUGUACAAGAGAAGUUGCAACCUGUCGGUUUGGUUUGGGGUCCACGUGGUUAUUCCAGUCUUUGUUAAUUGGUGAAUGGAGUAUGUUGGGAUUUGGCCCAGGAUUGCGUUUGGUAACAUCCUUGUAGAUGCUAAGACUGAUGUAUGAUGCGCUGGCUGUGAACCUCGGCCUUGGCUACAAUCUCUUUUGUGAGCUACUGGUUCACACUUUGAUCUCCAACUCCUGGUAUGCGUAAUACUGAUUGUUCUGGUCAAUGGCGCUAUUUUGGCUUAUUAGUGGAGCUACUAGAUUUAGUAGUUAUGGAUGUAAUUCCUAGCUUUUUUUAAAUAUUGACUUGCUCUAGUUGAGUCUAUAUACUAGGUGUAUGUGAUCUGUGAGUUGCUGGUGAAUGGUCGAAUUUAUUCAUGAUCAUGUCUCUAUAGCAAUGUCAUGGCAAUCCUGAUAGUGCAAGUUUAAUUAAGUUUCUAGUGACAGCUGGAUGAUGAAUUGAUGUUGUGAAAAUUAUGAUAAUUUUCUUAUGUGUGGAUCACAAUCACACAUUCAUUCCCUACGUUUUAACCUCUUGCAAAUCAAUCUUGGCAGUUGCAAUGACACUGACACACAAGAUAUGUAUGUCUUGUUUGCUAUGCUCAGUUUUUUCCCAUCUAUAUAGUUUUCUGGCCAUAUCUGUUUUGAUGUAUAAUUUGCACUCUUCUCAAGUUUGGCUCUGACCAUAUAAUUUUUUGUGAGAGGGUGUCGUCUGGAGCAUGGAGUGGCUAGAGCUUAGCGAAGGGAGGACCGCCACUGUAUCGAUGCUGAAGUUUGGUUGACCUUCAUCUUCAUCUCCAUGGUUUAGGUGUUUGGUGCCAAGGCUGUGUGGGGUGGCGGAGCCCAAGGGGACCUGCUGCAAGAGGAAAAUAGUCACCUACAGCAGCAGGUAUCUUUUCCAGGAGCUGUGCCUGGAUGUGAAUGCCGCAGACGAUAAGGCUGCGAGACAACACUGGCAGGAGGAGGUACCGCUGCUGCUGCACCUGUACUUCGAAGAAGGAGGAUGUCUUGGCCCGGUUGUUGUGUUGUAGCACAAAUGUUACUUGUCUGGCAACAACGUCCAGCGUAGCUCUUGCCAGUGCCAACAACCAGCGACGCUGACAUGCCACAUGCCCUGCUGCUCGGGCCUUUCCGCAUCACGGACCAGCAGCUGAGAGGCACUCCUUCCCCUGCCUAGAUGCAGGGAGACCUAGUUUUCUGUCGCCAAGAUUCAUCGACGUGGUUCUUCCAUUGGAAGCGGGCCACGCGAUGAUGUCCAUGGUAUAGAGUUUGCUGGUGUUCCGAAGAGUUAGGCUAUGAAUAUCUCCCCCCUAAGGAGGGUGAACCAAACCAUCUACCUGUUGACUGAUGGUGCAAGGAAGAGUGCCUUCAAGAACAUCAACACCAUUGCUGAGUGUACCUCGUUGAUGAGUUCAUCAACGACGCCAAGGGCUUAUCUAACAGCAUCCUUGUUGAUUAAGUGAAGAAACCAGUUGCUUCCCAUCCCUGAUCCAAUUGUUGAUCUAUAGGGAAUCUGGAAGAAGCAUUUGGGAAGUCCUCCUAAAUCCGAACUUACCAAUCAUGUAUGACCGCCACUCCAACGAGGGCUCUCGCGGCACUGCUGGCCAUCCUCAUGUGCCUUUGUUCUCAGUGGUGGUCUUGGUUGUCCAUUGGCUUUGGCCACCUCCUUGGCGAUGCAACUACUGUAGCAGUGGCGUUCACUCCUUCCGGCUAAUAUGAUUCACAUCCACUAAACUGAAGUUGGAUUUAUGUGCAAAUAUUUUCAUCUUUUUUGUACUUCCAGGUAAAUAUAAUAUCUCCUAUGUAGUUGUCACCAGUGAACUCUGUAUAGAAGAUGGACUAUUCUUUUUUUCUUUUGACCUGGAGAUCGAUGGUCCAUUCUCCUUAGACUAGUGAUGUGUUCUAAUUUGGAAAGCUGGUCAGUUUGAUCUUUUUCGACCACUAGAGCUACUAGACAUUAAAUGCUUGAUGAUAUCCUUGUGAUAGUACUACAGAUGGUUUUCACAAUUCAGAGUAGGCAUGAUCAAAUAUUUAAGUUUCGUGUGUAGAGAAAGUUAGAGCCAUUUUCUGAAUGCAUUACUUUCUAGAACAACAUUAUCUUGUAUCAUUGUGUAUUUGAUGCUUCAUGGCUGCGUGUACAGCCUUGUCGUGUUUUUUUAGGUCAGAGAUGGUCAAGCUCAAAGCUAGGCCACCAGGCUGGAUCUUAUUAAUCUCCUCGCCUUUACUUUCUUCUGUUUUGAAUUAUAUUCAUGCAGGCUAAUAUGAUUCACAUCCACUAAACUUGUCUCACAUGAUUGUCUUGAACGUCGUGAAUCUAGGAAGUCAGAUUUAUGUGCCAAUCUUUCUAUCUUUUUUGUACUGGUAAUGGUCAGCCAUGAAUGCAUAGUGGGAACCAGCCAUGAAUUUGCUUUGCCAUAGUGCCAUGAUUACUUGUUUUCACUCAUGUUUAGGGUUAAUUAUGUUACUUGCACUUCUAGCCAAUGAUGUACUAGAUAUGUUGGUGAGGUCAUAGUCAUAGCAGAACAGUGUAUGUCACCAUGUUUUGAAUGAUUUGUCAUCAUGUAGUGUUAUCUAUGUUGAAGUUUUCUGGUAUGCAGCCUCUUUGAUUAGUCAACAUCACUGCUCUCGGUUAUCUCUUUUACUUUCUUUCCUUGAGAUAAGUUUAUGGAUUUUGGAUCUGAACAAGCUACUUGGGAUGGUGCAGAGCGAUUUACAUUUGUAAUUUGCUUGUGUUUCUGAUAGGUUUUAUUUUCUGAAGAUAUAUCUUGAUGGUAUUAGCAUAAGCUUGUACCGUGAUUUAUGACCUACCCAUACCAAGGUCAAUUAGUGAAAGGGUGAAAGCUGGUUCCCACUAUGCUUUGUUGUUUCCCUUCACAGAAUUGGCAUGGUCGCAAUAUCCUGAAGAAUUAGCGUGAAACUGCUUUGUUCAUCAGUCCAAGUCUUGGCUCUUACAAUUGAUAAUGUCCAUGUCUAAUUGAUUUAUUCUGGUCUUCUUCCAUUGAUGCUAACGUACAUGCGAUGUAUAGUCUGAUAUGCUUACAAUGAUGUGUGCAAUGUCCUAUAUAAUUUAUGUUUGUUGUCCCUCCUUGCCCAUGUAGAUGUUUAUCAUUAUAGUAGUACAACCUGUUAAUAUGUAUCAGUGGAUUUCCUAACCCCAUGAAGCUUGACGCUG
Lolium rigidum is the source of this 3301-nucleotide long non-coding RNA. RefSeq lists it as uncharacterized. NCBI's taxonomy places the organism in Eukaryota, Viridiplantae, Streptophyta, Magnoliopsida, Poales, Poaceae. The record is from RefSeq and is a predicted model, not a curated record. The transcript has 8 exons.